This 989-nucleotide ribosomal RNA is filed under the name uncultured soil bacterium. RNAcentral's name for it is "bacterial SSU rRNA". It matches the Rfam family "Bacterial small subunit ribosomal RNA", at positions 8 to 964 of the family's 1533-position model. The record is from RNAcentral.
AGAGUUUGAACCUGGCUCAGGACGAACGCUGGCGGCGUGCCUAAUACAUGCAAGUCGAGCGCGGGAAGCGAGCUGAUCCUCUUCGGAGGUGACGCUCGUGGAACGAGCGGCGGACGGGUGAGUAACACGUGGGCAACCUGCCUGUAAGAUCGGAAUAACUCCGGGAAACCGGAGCUAAUGCCGGGUAACACCUUCUUUCGCAUGAAGGAAGGUUAAAAGAUGGCUUCUCGCUAUCACUUACAGAUGGGCCCGCGGCGCAUUAGCUAGUUGGUGAGGUAACGGCUCACCAAGGCGACGAUGCGUAGCCGACCUGAGAGGGUGAUCGGCCACACUGGGACUGAGACACGGCCCAGACUCCUACGGGAGGCAGCAGUAGGGAAUCUUCCGCAAUGGACGAAAGUCUGACGGAGCAACGCCGCGUGAACGAUGAAGGUUUUCGGAUCGUAAAGUUCUGUUGUUAGGGAAGAACAAGUACCGUGCGAAUAGAGCGGUACCUUGACGGUACCUAACGAGGAAGCCCCGGCUAACUACGUGCCAGCAGCCGCGGUAAUACGUAGGGGGCAAGCGUUGUCCGGAAUUAUUGGGCGUAAAGCGCGCGCAGGCGGUUCCUUAAGUCUGAUGUGAAAGCCCACGGCUCAACCGUGGAGGGUCAUUGGAAACUGGGGAACUUGAGGACAGAAGAGGAGAGUGGAAUUCCACGUGUAGCGGUGAAAUGCGUAGAUAUGUGGAGGAACACCAGUGGCGAAGGCGACUCUCUGGUCUGUUUCUGACGCUGAGGUGCGAAAGCGUGGGUAGCAAACAGGAUUAGAUACCCUGGUAGUCCACGCCGUAAACGAUGAGUGCUAGGUGUUAGGGGCUUCCACCCCUUAGUGCUGAAGUUAACGCAUUAAGCACUCCGCCUGGGGAGUACGGCCGCAAGGCUGAAACUCAAGGAAUUGACGGGGGCCCGCACAGCGGUGGAGCAUGUGGUUUAAUUCGAAGCAACGCGA